AGAACUGAAACAUCUAAGUACCCUGAGGAAAAGAAAUCAACCGAGAUUCCCUAAGUAGCGGCGAGCGAACGGGGACUAGCCCUUAAGCUAGACAACUGGUAGGAGAAGGCUCUGGAAAGUGCCGCCAUAGUGGGUGAUAGCCCUGUAUCCGAAACCUGAGUCUAGUGAAAUCGAGUAGGACGGGGCACGAGAAACCUUGUCUGAACAUGGGGGGACCAUCCUCCAAGGCU
This 230-nucleotide ribosomal RNA is filed under the name Chaetoceros brevis. Its description in RNAcentral is "partial Bacterial large subunit ribosomal RNA". It matches the Rfam family "Bacterial large subunit ribosomal RNA", at positions 189 to 467 of the family's 2925-position model. The record is from RNAcentral. Lineage: Eukaryota; Bacillariophyta; Thalassiosirophyceae; Chaetocerotales; Chaetocerotaceae.